AUUGAACGCUGGCGGCAUGCUUUACACAUGCAAGUCGAACGGUAACAGGCCGCAAGGUGCUGACGAGUGGCGAACGGGUGAGUAAUGCAUCGGAACGUGCCCAGUCGUGGGGGAUAACUACUCGAAAGAGUAGCUAAUACCGCAUACGAUCUAUGGAUGAAAGCGGGGGACCGUAAGGCCUCGCGCGAUUGGAGCGGCCGAUGUCAGAUUAGGUAGUUGGUGGGGUAAAGGCUCACCAAGCCAACGAUCUGUAGCUGGUCUGAGAGGACGACCAGCCACACUGGGACUGAGACACGGCCCAGACUCCUACGGGAGGCAGCAGUGGGGAAUUUUGGACAAUGGGCGCAAGCCUGAUCCAGCAAUACCGCGUGCAGGAAGAAGGCCUUCGGGUUGUAAACUGCUUUUGUACGGAACGAAACGGCUCUGGUUAAUACCCGGGGCUAAUGACGGUACCGUAAGAAUAAGCACCGGCUAACUACGUG
This 482-nucleotide ribosomal RNA is filed under the name uncultured bacterium. RNAcentral's name for it is "partial 16S ribosomal RNA". It matches the Rfam family "Bacterial small subunit ribosomal RNA", at positions 30 to 507 of the family's 1533-position model. The record is from RNAcentral.